Molecule: ribosomal RNA, 1417 nt
Filed under: metagenome
Description: SSU rRNA
Rfam family: Eukaryotic small subunit ribosomal RNA
Source: RNAcentral
GCGUAACGGAGAAUAAGGGUUCGACUCCGGAGAGUUCGCCUGAGAAAUCGCGAACACAUCUAAGGAAGGCAGCAGGCGCGAAAAUUACCCACUCUCAGCACGAGGAGGUAGUGACGAAAAAUAACGAGACCGUUCUCUUUCGAGGCCGGUCAUCGGAAUGGGUACAAUUUAAACCCUUUAACGAGUAUCUAUGAGAGGGCAAGUCUGGUGCCAGCAGCCGCGGUAAUUCCAGCUCUCAAAGUGCAUAGAAUUAUUGCUGCGGUUAAAAAGCUCGUAGUUGGAUCUGUGCCAUAGGACGGGGUCUUUCCUAACGGAUUUGUACUUCGCUCCUAGGCUUUUCAGUCGGUUUUCCCGUAAUUGCAUUCAUUUGUCGUUGCGGGUGGCUGACGAGUUUACUUGAGAAAAUCAGAGUGCUCAAUACAGGCGUCUAGCUUGAAUGAUUGUGCAUGGAAUAAUAGAAAAGGAUUUCGGUCCUCUUUUAUUGGUUUUGUGGACUGAGAUAAUGGUUAACAGGGACAAACCGGGGCAUUCGUAUCGCUGCGUGAGAGGUGAAAUUCUUGGACCGUAGCGAGACGCCCUACUGCGAAAGCAUUUGCCAAGAAUGUCUUCAUUAAUCAAGAACGAAAGUCAGAGGUUCGAAGGCGAUCAGAUACCGCCCUAGUUCUGACCGUAAACGAUGCCAACUAGCGAUCUGCCGGUGGAUUUUUAGCCCUGGUAGGUAGCUUCCCGGAAACGAAAGUCUUCCGGUUCCGGGGGAAGUAUGGUUGCAAAGCUGAAACUUAAAGGAAUUGACGGAAGGGCACCACCAGGAGUGGAGCCUGCGGCUUAAUUUGACCCAACACGGGGAAACUCACCCGGCCCGGACACCGUAAGGAUUGACAGAUUGAUAGCUCUUUCAUGAUUCGGUGGUUGGUGGUGCAUGGCCGUUCUUAGUUCGUGGAUCGAUUUGUCUGGUUUAUUCCGAUAACGAGCGAGACUCUAGCCUACUAAAUAGUAACGAGAUUGCUAUUGUCUUAGUUGCUUCUUAGAGGGAUUUUCGGUGUUUAGCCGCACGAGAUUGAGCAAUAACAGGUCUGUGAUGCCCUUAGAUGUCCGGGGCUGCACGCGCGCUACACUGGCAAAAUCAGCGUGCUGUAUCCAUUCUCGAAAGGGAUUGGUAAACCCAUGAAAAUUUGCCGUGAUUGGGAUCGGAAAUUGCAAUUAUUUUCCGUGAACGAGGAAUUCCAAGUAAGUGCGAGUCAUCAACUCGCUCUGAUUACGUCCCUGCCCUUUGUACACACCGCCCGUCGCUGCCCGGGACUGAGCCAUUUCGAGAAGAUCAGGGACCGAUGAAUUGUGGCCUCUUCGCGGAGGUUCGGUUCGUUGGAAACUGAUUUGAUCGCAGUGGCUUGAACCGGGCAAAAGUCGUAACAAGGUA